CCUACGGGUGGCAGCAGUGAGGAAUAUUGGUCAAUGGACGAGAGUCUGAACCAGCCAAGUAGUGUGAAGGAUGACUGCCCUAUGGGUUGUAAACUUCUUUUAUAUGGGAAUAAAAUGUUCCACGUGUGGGAUUUUGUAUGUACCAUAUGAAUAAGGAUCGGCUAACUCCGUGCCAGCAGCCGCGGUAAUACGGAGGAUCCGAGCGUUAUCCGGAUUUAUUGGGUUUAAAGGGAGCGUAGGUGGAUUGUUAAGUCAGUUGUGAAAGUUUGCGGCUCAACCGUAAAAUUGCAGUUGAAACUGGCAGUCUUGAGUACAGUAGAGGUGGGCGGAAUUCGUGGUGUAGCGGUGAAAUGCUUAGAUAUCACGAAGAACUCCGAUUGCGAAGGCAGUUCACUGGACUGCAACUGACACUGAGGCUCGAAAGUGUGGGUAUCAAACAGGAUUAGAUACCCUUGUAGGC
RNAcentral lists this ribosomal RNA (460 nucleotides) under uncultured bacterium. RNAcentral describes it as "partial 16S ribosomal RNA". It matches the Rfam family "Bacterial small subunit ribosomal RNA", at positions 338 to 795 of the family's 1533-position model. The record is from RNAcentral.